Long non-coding RNA from Scylla paramamosain (green mud crab), 606 nucleotides. RefSeq lists it as uncharacterized. The record is from RefSeq and is a predicted model, not a curated record. Lineage: Eukaryota; Metazoa; Arthropoda; Malacostraca; Decapoda; Portunidae. The transcript has 3 exons.
UGGAACCCACAGGUUGAAGCAGGUUGGCAGAGGUAGCCAGGCAUCAUGGCGGCCCUUGUCAGUGGAGAGAACGGCCGCUAUUUUGCCUGUUAUUCUUCCAUCGUAACUAAAUGAGAUAGUAAUUGACGAACACAACACACCACGUGGAGAGAAGCAAGGUGUGGAGUACCCAAGCCUCUCACAGUCCAUGCUAGUAGACUCACCCUGCAUGUGGAAAUCUCCCAAAAUGCACGGAGGUUAUUCCAGAGCUGCAGGACAGAGUACUUGAGGCCAUUGGUGAACAGAAAGCUGAGGUUGAACAAAGCCAAGAAUUGAUAGCUGCCCAAGGUGUAAGCAAGAUUCACAAUGAUGAGGUCAUUGUGACGUGUGCAAUGUGUCCACUGGUCUUGGCCUUCCUGACCAAGGCAGCCACACAAAGGAAAUUCCACGUUAUUGUUGCCGAACGUGCCCCUAAAUAUGAUGUAAGGUGUUUUAUGCGUCUCUUUCACGUCAUCGUGUCUGAUGUGCACAAUACAUAACACAGGGACUGCCACGUGUAGGGGUGAUGGCUUCUUGCAGCUUCCUUUAUUUUAUUAUGUUCUUAUGUUCUCAAUACAUCUUUUACUU